RNAcentral lists this long non-coding RNA (288 nucleotides) under Jatropha curcas. RNAcentral describes it as "long non-coding RNA (JCUR_LNC001651)". The record is from RNAcentral. Lineage: Eukaryota; Viridiplantae; Streptophyta; Magnoliopsida; Malpighiales; Euphorbiaceae.
AGAAACUCACAUAAUAACAAAAUAAAAACCCCUAAAACCCACAGGAAUUUAAUAAAAGAAUUAAUAAAAACCCUGUAAAACCAAAAAAAUAAAAAACAAUGUGUCUUUCCCAACCCACAGUAUCUACACCCCCAACCUACAGCUUUCUUUCCACAAAAAUUUCAUCUUGGCCAUAUAACAUCGCAAGAUGCAAGUCACGCGCAAUGCGCAAUUUGUCCAAUGACUUACCGGCCACGACACUGGAACAAUUUCCAUAUUUUGCCACUUAAAACCUACUUAAGGUUGCUU